GGGAAGGUAGCUCAGUGGUAGAGUGCUUGCCUUGCAUGCAUGAAGCCCUGGGUUCGAUUCCUCAGCACCA
This is a non-coding RNA of Dipodomys ordii (Ord's kangaroo rat), 70 nucleotides long. NCBI's taxonomy places the organism in Eukaryota, Metazoa, Chordata, Mammalia, Rodentia, Heteromyidae. The record is from Rfam.